CUUUUCAUUCAAAAGCUUCACUGUAAGAAGAUUAGCAUGGACCCUGCUCAAGGAUGACAGGCAAAUUCGUAAAGCAUCUCAUAUAUAU
This is a small nuclear RNA of Dipodomys ordii (Ord's kangaroo rat), 88 nucleotides long. Lineage: Eukaryota; Metazoa; Chordata; Mammalia; Rodentia; Heteromyidae. The record is from Ensembl.